AAUGAAUGCAUGAAUGAGGAGGGCAAAUUUUGGGGUGUUACAGCUGCCCCUAUUCAAUCAUCAGCUAAACCGAGUAGGAUGAAAGCGAACAGCUUAUCAGACAAACGGGGUGAGCUGUGAUUGAACACCAAAGAUAGACCGAAAAUUUGCGCUCCGAGAACACCACAAAAACACGGAAAUACACCGUGCUGUUUAUUUUUCUUCUGAUCCUCUGGCUUAAUCUGGAGUUUCGAUCCUCUGGCUGAACCUAUACUCAAUUUAGUCCUCUGGUUGG
Molecule: long non-coding RNA, 274 nt
Filed under: Lathyrus oleraceus (garden pea)
Lineage: Eukaryota; Viridiplantae; Streptophyta; Magnoliopsida; Fabales; Fabaceae
Description: Pisum sativum (pea) long non-coding RNA (PSAT_LNC006797)
Source: RNAcentral